GGGCCGGUAGCUCAGCACGGAAGAGCGACGGUGGGCUCCUCUAGCCCUGUCGAAGCUUUUAUCCAGAAGCGUGGAGGAGACCCGUAGGACCCGGGUUCAAAUCCCGGCCGGCCCGCCA
This 118-nucleotide transfer RNA is filed under the name Thermofilum sp. RNAcentral's name for it is "tRNA-OTHER". It matches the Rfam family "tRNA". From Rfam's summary of the family: Transfer RNA (tRNA) molecules are approximately 80 nucleotides in length. Their secondary structure includes four short double-helical elements and three loops (D, anti-codon, and T loops). Further hydrogen bonds mediate the characteristic L-shaped molecular structure. tRNAs have two regions of fundamental functional importance: the anti-codon, which is responsible for specific mRNA codon recognition, and the 3' end, to which the tRNAs corresponding amino acid is attached (by aminoacyl-tRNA synthetases). tRNAs cope with the degeneracy of the genetic code in two manners: having more than one tRNA (with a specific anti-codon) for a particular amino acid; and 'wobble' base-pairing, i.e. permitting non-standard base-pairing at the 3rd anti-codon position. The record is from RNAcentral. Lineage: Archaea; Thermoproteati; Thermoproteota; Thermoprotei; Thermofilales; Thermofilaceae.